Molecule: ribosomal RNA, 432 nt
Filed under: uncultured bacterium
Lineage: Bacteria
Description: partial 16S ribosomal RNA
Rfam family: Bacterial small subunit ribosomal RNA
Source: RNAcentral
AACGAACGCUGGCGGCAUGCCUAACACAUGCAAGUCGAACGAGACCUUCGGGUCUAGUGGCGCACGGGUGCGUAACGCGUGGGAACCUGCCCUUAGGUUCGGAAUAACUCCCCGAAAGGGGUGCUAAUACCGGAUAAUGUCUUCGGACCAAAGAUUUAUCGCCUUUGGAUGGGCCCGCGUUGGAUUAGCUAGUUGGUAGGGUAAAAGCCUACCAAGGCGACGAUCCAUAGCUGGUCUGAGAGGAUGAUCAGCCACACUGGGACUGAGACACGGCCCAGACUCCUACGGGAGGCGGCAGUGGGGAAUAUUGGACAAUGGGCGAAAGCCUGAUCCAGCAAUGCCGCGUGAGUGAUGAAGGCCUUAGGGUUGUAAAGCUCUUUUACCCGGGAUGAUAAUGACAGUACCGGGAGAAUAAGCUCCGGCUAACUCCGU